AUUGAACGCUGGCGGCAGGCCUAACACAUGCAAGUCGAACGGUAACAGAAAGCAGCUUGCUGCUUUGCUGACGAGUGGCGGACGGGUGAGUAAUGUCUGGGAAACUGCCUGAUGGAGGGGGAUAACUACUGGAAACGGUAGCUAAUACCGCAUAACGUCGCAAGACCAAAGAGGGGGACCUUCGGGCCUCUUGCCAUCGGAUGUGCCCAGAUGGGAUUAGCUAGUAGGUGGGGUAACGGCUCACCUAGGCGACGAUCCCUAGCUGGUCUGAGAGGAUGACCAGCCACACUGGAACUGAGACACGGUCCAGACUCCUACGGGAGGCAGCAGUGGGGAAUAUUGCACAAUGGGCGCAAGCCUGAUGCAGCCAUGCCACGUGUAUGAAGAAGGCCUUCGGGUUGUAAAGUACUUUCAGCGGGGAGGAAGGGAGUAAAGUUAAUACCUUUGCUCAUUGACGUUACCCGCAGAAGAAGCACCGGCUAACUCCGUG
RNAcentral lists this ribosomal RNA (490 nucleotides) under uncultured bacterium. RNAcentral's name for it is "partial 16S ribosomal RNA". It matches the Rfam family "Bacterial small subunit ribosomal RNA", at positions 30 to 507 of the family's 1533-position model. The record is from RNAcentral.